RNAcentral lists this small nuclear RNA (104 nucleotides) under Ochotona princeps (American pika). The record is from RNAcentral. Lineage: Eukaryota; Metazoa; Chordata; Mammalia; Lagomorpha; Ochotonidae.
GCGCUCUCUUCGGCAGCACACGUAUUAAAAUUGGAAUGACAGAGAAGAUUAGCACGCCCCCUGUGCAAAAUGGCAUGCAAAUUCAUGAAAGUGUCCAUAUAUUU